UACAGAGGGUGCAAGCGUUGUUCGGAAUUAUUGGGCGUAAAGCGCGUGUAGGCGGCUUUGCAAGUCGGGUGUGAAAGCCCUCGGCUCAACCGAGGAAGUGCGCCCGAAACUGCAGAGCUUGAGUACCGGAGAGGAUGGCGGAAUUCCCCAAGUAGAGGUGAAAUUCGUAGAUAUCGGGAGGAACACCAGUGGCGAAGGCGGCGAUCUGGGCAGAUACUGACGCUGAGGUGCGAAAGCGUGGGGAGCAAACAGG
This 253-nucleotide ribosomal RNA is filed under the name uncultured bacterium. Its description in RNAcentral is "partial 16S ribosomal RNA". It matches the Rfam family "Bacterial small subunit ribosomal RNA", at positions 524 to 776 of the family's 1533-position model. The record is from RNAcentral.